This 483-nucleotide ribosomal RNA is filed under the name uncultured bacterium. RNAcentral's name for it is "partial 16S ribosomal RNA". It matches the Rfam family "Bacterial small subunit ribosomal RNA", at positions 28 to 507 of the family's 1533-position model. The record is from RNAcentral.
GACGAACGCUGGCGGCGUGCUUUACACAUGCAAGUCGAACGCUGAAGCUCAGCUUUUGUUGGGUGGAUGAGUGGCGAACGGGUGAGUAACACGUGAGUAACCUGCCUCCUUCUUUGGGAUAACGCCCGGAAACGGGUGCUAAUACUGGAUAUUCACUGGUCUUCGCCUGGGGGUUGGUGGAAAGGGUUUUUCUGGUGGGGGAUGGGCUCGCGGCCUAUCAGCUUGUUGGUGGGGUGAUGGCCUACCAAGGCUUUGACGGGUAGCCGGCCUGAGAGGGUGACCGGUCACAUUGGGGUUGGGCUCCGGCCCAGAACCCGACGGGCGGCAGAUGUGGGGAUUAUUGCAGGAUGGGCGCAGGCCUGAUGCAGCGACGGCGCGUGGGCGAUGGGGUGCUUGGGUUUGGGAACCUCUUGCGUUCAUGGUCACGCCGGAAAAAUGGUUGUGGUGAGGGUAGUGGGUAAAGAAGCGCCGGCUAACUACGUG